RNA transcript from Condylostylus longicornis, 2690 nucleotides. It is a transcript of the gene named modifier of mdg4, with no coding region annotated. Lineage: Eukaryota; Metazoa; Arthropoda; Insecta; Diptera; Dolichopodidae. The transcript is spliced from 8 exons. The record is from RefSeq and is a predicted model, not a curated record.
AACAUCACAAGAAGCCAAGCCAAUUUUCGGAUAACAGCGAAUUUCGCUCGGUUUUUCAUUUCUAGUUAUUUCUAUUUCUGUAUUAAGAGAAGAAAGUUGUGUUAGAAAGGAGUUAAAAUUAAAGAAAUUUUUUUUUUUUAUUUAAUAAAAAUUAUAAUUAUAUCAAAUAAUUAAAAUUUAAUUGAAAUAAACAAGCUUUUAAGUUUUGGGCUAUUCUGCUACAAAACAAAUUGAGAAUUAAAAAUAAAAGAGUUUUUUCAUAAGUUCAUCGUCAUUUGUAAAAAUGGCGGACGAUGAACAAUUUUCAUUAUGUUGGAAUAAUUUUAAUAGUAAUUUAUCUGCGGGUUUUCAUGAAUCAUUAUGUAGAGGAGAUUUAGUAGAUGUAACAUUAGCGGCAGAGGGUCAAUUUAUCAAGGCGCAUCGUCUUGUUUUAUCUGUAUGUUCACCAUAUUUCCGUAAAAUGUUUACGCAAAUGCCAACGAAUCAACAUGCAUUUGUAUUUCUUAAGGAUGUUAGUCAUAGCGCUUUAAAAGACUUAAUUCAAUUUAUGUAUUGUGGAGAAGUUAAUGUUAAACAGGAUGCACUACCCGCCUUUAUUAGCACAGCAGAAGCUCUUCAAAUUAAAGGUUUAACAGACGGAGAUCCUGCACCCUCACAAUCUCCGGCCAAACCAUCAACCCCUGCUCCACAACAAAUACCUGCACAAGCGCAACAAACCGUGACGACAUCAUUACCAAGGCCCAAAGCGAGGACGAGAACACAGGCUCAAACUCAACAAUAUAAAAUAGAAACUGAUGAUAGUGAUGUAGAAAAGGCUACUCAAAUAGUUAUACAAACCUCCACCGCACCGUUGACAACAUCUACACCACAAACCAUACAGGUUCAAGUUCAAACAACACAACAGCAACAGCAAACACAAACCCAACAACAAACCCAACAGCACCAAACACAAACAGUUCAAAUACAGCCCCAAACAGUAGUUUCGGCUCAAAAACGUGUUGCCCAAAAAAGUAUUACACCUCACACCGUAAAAAGAACUAAACUUGUACAACAACCAGAUCCUUUAGAAGCAAGUGAACCAACACAAAUUACAGUUCAAACUGUAACGGAGAGUAAAACAAAUAAUGAAACUGAAUUUAUAGACUUACCAAUAGAAUUACCAACAAAAUCAGAGCCAGAAUAUGCUGAAGAUGCGGGGGGUGAUGUAGAGACAGUUGAACAAGAAGCUACAUACGUUGAAGAUGAUUCUUAUGGUGAUAUGAAAUAUGAUGAAAGUUAUUUUACUGAAAAUGAUGAAACUGGUGCUAAUGUUGGUGGUAGUGGAACAGGUACGGCUGUGCAAGCUACAACAUCAACAAUAAAACAACAGCAACCAUCGUUUUCGGAAUCUUAUGUUAGUGAUGCAGGUGAUCAAUCUGCAACUGAAGCACAAGAAAAGGAGAAUUUAAAAUCGAGUGCGAAAAUGUGUUUAGAGGUAGGAAAAUGCAACGAUUCAUACAACAUUUCGCCUGAAGUUCGGGAUACUGUUGACAACAAACAGGUCAACCUCGAUGUUGCAAAUAAUUUUUCAAAUAAUAAUAUGCAAGAAAGUGUUAAAAAAGUGGAAACGAGCAUUGUUUCAAAACAUCCUGCAAUUGAAGCCUUCAAUGCAAGACAACAAGGGUUGUCACCAAGUUCAACUACGAUUAUACAAGCACAAACAUCAAAACAAAACACAAAGAAAGCUUCUAUUGCACAACAUCUUACGCACGAUAGUUCUCAACAACAAAUUGUUAAACUUCACGAUAAUACACAAUAUAUUAUUAUACCUGCGACUGUAAAUAAAAACGAUCAAGAACAAAUAAAAAUUCUGAAAAGUCCUGGUAAACCAAACCAAAAGCCCCUUACGACAGGAGAUAUUACUUGUAAAAUGCAAGCAAUGCAAAAGAAUGUAAAAAAAAAUAUAUCUCCUCAAUCCUCCUCUAGUAAACUUAUAACACAACAAGUAUCUCCAGUCAGGAACUCCAAUAAUCAACCGAGACCAUCUCCAAAGUCAAUUGUAGACAAUGAUUUGAUUCCUUUGCACAGUGGAUCGAAACUUCUCAUAUCUAAAACAGCAAUCAGCACGAUAUUUACUCCAAAUGUUAAAAAUUAUACAGCUAGACUUAUUAACCAUUUAUUAAAGGCUGAUGGACUAAUCAUAUGUGAAUUGGAAAAUAUUCGAUCUAUCAUCACUCACGUUACACAAGUGUUUAAUAGACGUGGAAAUCCUGUUACAGAAUUAGAUGUGGAGAAAUAUGUUAUGAUAAAAUUACAAAAAUCCGUAGCUCCCACCAAGAAAUAAGCUUACUAUUAGUUCUAUUUAAUUUUUCAUUGUUUUGAUAUAUAAUACAUAUUACAUAAUGUUUCCCAUUAGAUUUUAUUUAAUUAAUUAUAAUUUGCUUGCAAUACUGAAAUAAAAAUUGAAUUAUAUCCAGCCGCUCAUCAACAAAAUGGUUUAAUAUGUAUUGAUAUCAAAAUAUGCAUUUUUGUCUUGAGCGGUUUUUUCGAGUUUAAACAAAUAAAAUAAUAUAAAACUCAUUCAAAUAUUGUAUGGAUUCAAUAUCACAAAAAUUCAAGUCAAAUGACCUAAUUCCGUUACAUGCCGGAAGCACUGUUCUAGUUAACAAAAAUGACUUAAUUUAUAUUUCUCAUAAAAGUUUAAAUGAUCC